GCGGGGGUGGCAGAGCUUGGUCAAAUGCGCAAGAUUGAGGUUCUUGUGGUCUAGUACCUGCGCGAGUUCAAAUCUCGUCCCCCGCA
RNAcentral lists this transfer RNA (86 nucleotides) under Microcaldota archaeon. RNAcentral describes it as "tRNA-Leu". It matches the Rfam family "tRNA". Rfam says of the family: Transfer RNA (tRNA) molecules are approximately 80 nucleotides in length. Their secondary structure includes four short double-helical elements and three loops (D, anti-codon, and T loops). RNAcentral also lists the same sequence under 1 other name. Lineage: Archaea; Nanobdellati; Microcaldota. The record is from RNAcentral.